Molecule: microRNA precursor, 64 nt
Filed under: Nematostella vectensis (starlet sea anemone)
Lineage: Eukaryota; Metazoa; Cnidaria; Anthozoa; Actiniaria; Edwardsiidae
Description: mir-9447 microRNA precursor family
Rfam family: mir-9447 microRNA precursor family
Source: Rfam by way of RNAcentral
AGGGCAGACUGAAGAAGGUGAAUUGUUACAAGCUUAUAACGGUUCACCUUCUUCAGUCUGCCCU